RNAcentral lists this long non-coding RNA (745 nucleotides) under Elaeis guineensis (African oil palm). RNAcentral's name for it is "long non-coding RNA (EGUI_LNC010183)". Lineage: Eukaryota; Viridiplantae; Streptophyta; Magnoliopsida; Arecales; Arecaceae. The record is from RNAcentral.
UCAUUAUCACUCACUUAAUGGGAGGCUAUGAUUUAGUUAUCAAUAUAACUUAAUCAUUUUUAGGACCUAAUAAUUUUUGAGAAUUUUAUUAAAGAAUCGAAGAGAAGAAAAUAUCCAGCCAAUUUCAAUCCUCCCACUGACUUCACCAAGUCAAAUUAAAAAGGAUUUACUUAAAGCUGGCAUUAGGAGCAUCUAAAUUAGUCAAACUGAUUUACCUAAUGACAUGGGUGAGCCCUAAUCACCAAGUGAUCUAAUCAAACCCUAAUUCAUCAGGUUGGCCAGGUAAGUGAGAUCAGUGGUGGGGAUAAGCCAUUAACUCGUCAGAGAUCGAAUCACUGUGAGUAGCUCCCGCUUAAAAACCAUUGGUCAAACUGCCAAACUUACCUUAGACACCAACUGGUUCAUUAGUUUUAAUUUGAUCAACUUAGUAAAUAGGGUUUCACCGCGUAGCCAUGAAUUAAGUCCAUCUUGGUCUAGUUAAAGAUAUGGACCCAUUCAACUAUAACUAUUGGAGUUGAGUCUAGAGUAUCCUUGACCUAAUCUAAUUCAACUUUUGAUUAGAUUUGACCAAUUACUCUAAUUUAGUCCAUUUCUUUAAGCUAACCUUAGGUCUAAUCCAAUUAUGGACCUAAUCCAUCUAACCCAUUGACCCACAAGUUUAUGCAAUUGUCUUAGGUCUUAAUUCACAAUUCUAGACCUACUAGACAACACUUAAUUCUUUUAAUUAAGUAUUUGGGCUGAUAGG